This 349-nucleotide unclassified non-coding RNA is filed under the name Hevea brasiliensis (rubber tree). Lineage: Eukaryota; Viridiplantae; Streptophyta; Magnoliopsida; Malpighiales; Euphorbiaceae. The record is from RNAcentral.
UCCUGAUCUAACUUUGAAGGCUGCUAACAAGUACUUGCAGGACUCAUUUGUUUUGAUCAGGAAACUGCUUCAAAAACAACUCCUGGAUUCAAAGAAAGCCAAUAAGAAAGGAGUCUCAGUUGCAGCAGUAACUGAAGACAAGAUAACAGGCUUGAUAUAUGUGAAUGAACAAUUUGAUGGAUGGAAGGCAGAAUGCUUAAGGAUACUUCAAAGCAAAUUUGACAGUAACAAGCAUAUUUUUGCCCCAGAUGGGGAGAUAAUCGAGGCACUAAAGAACAGUUCUGUUGGGCAGGCCACAAAUUUUAAACAAAUACAAAAACUUUGUAUGCCUUUCUUGAGGUUCAAGAAG